UGCUCGUCUGGGCAGCACUAUACUAAAAUUGGAAUGGUAGAGUGAUUAGCAUGGUCCCUACGCAAGGAUGACACACACAUUCGUGAAGCAUUCCAUAUUUUU
Molecule: small nuclear RNA, 102 nt
Organism: Molossus molossus (Pallas's mastiff bat)
Lineage: Eukaryota; Metazoa; Chordata; Mammalia; Chiroptera; Molossidae
Source: RefSeq, a predicted model, not a curated record